Molecule: ribosomal RNA, 180 nt
Filed under: uncultured bacterium
Lineage: Bacteria
Description: partial 16S ribosomal RNA
Rfam family: Bacterial small subunit ribosomal RNA
Source: RNAcentral
GCAACUUGCCUACAUGAAGCUGGAAUUGCUAGUAAUCACAGGUCAGCAUACUGUGGUGAAUACGUUCCCGGGCCUUGUACACACCGCCCGUCACACCAUGAGAGUUGAGAAUACCCGAAGUCCAUGUCAAAGUGGCCGAAGGUAGGCUUGAUGAUUGGGGUGAAGUCGUAACAAGGUAAC